RNAcentral lists this ribosomal RNA (253 nucleotides) under uncultured bacterium. RNAcentral's name for it is "partial 16S ribosomal RNA". It matches the Rfam family "Bacterial small subunit ribosomal RNA", at positions 524 to 776 of the family's 1533-position model. The record is from RNAcentral.
UACGUAGGGUGCGAGCGUUGUCCGGAAUUAUUGGGCGUAAAGAGCUUGUAGGCGGUUUGUCGCGUCUGCCGUGAAAAUCCGGGGCUCAACCCCGGACUUGCGGUGGGUACGGGCAGACUAGAGUGUGGUAGGGGAGACUGGAAUUCCUGGUGUAGCGGUGAAAUGCGCAGAUAUCAGGAGGAACACCGGUGGCGAAGGCGGGUUGCUGGGCUGACACUGACGCUGAGGCGCGAAAGCUAGGGGAGCGAACGGG